RNAcentral lists this ribosomal RNA (781 nucleotides) under Bacillus sp. 17896. RNAcentral describes it as "bacterial SSU rRNA". It matches the Rfam family "Bacterial small subunit ribosomal RNA", at positions 64 to 828 of the family's 1533-position model. Lineage: Bacteria; Bacillati; Bacillota; Bacilli; Caryophanales; Bacillaceae. The record is from RNAcentral.
GAGCGACAGACGAGGAGCUUGCUCCUCUGACGUUAGCGGCGGACGGGUGAGUAACACGUGGAUAACCUACCUAUAAGACUGGGAUAACUUCGGGAAACCGGAGCUAAUACCGGAUAACAUGUUGAACCGCAUGGUUCAACAGUGAAAGACGGUCUUGCUGUCACUUAUAGAUGGAUCCGCGCCGCAUUAGCUAGUUGGUAAGGUAACGGCUUACCAAGGCAACGAUGCGUAGCCGACCUGAGAGGGUGAUCGGCCACACUGGAACUGAGACACGGUCCAGACUCCUACGGGAGGCAGCAGUAGGGAAUCUUCCGCAAUGGGCGAAAGCCUGACGGAGCAACGCCGCGUGAGUGAAGAAGGUCUUCGGAUCGUAAAACUCUGUUAUUAGGGAAGAACAAAUGUGUAAGUAACUAUGCACGUCUUGACGGUACCUAAUCAGAAAGCCACGGCUAACUACGUGCCAGCAGCCGCGGUAAUACGUAGGUGGCAAGCGUUAUCCGGAAUUAUUGGGCGUAAAGCGCGCGUAGGCGGUUUUUUAAGUCUGAUGUGAAAGCCCACGGCUCAACCGUGGAGGGUCAUUGGAAACUGGAAAACUUGAGUGCAGAAGAGGAAAGUGGAAUUCCAUGUGUAGCGGUGAAAUGCGCAGAGAUAUGGAGGAACACCAGUGGCGAAGGCGACUUUCUGGUCUGUAACUGACGCUGAUGUGCGAAAGCGUGGGGAUCAAACAGGAUUAGAUACCCUGGUAGUCCACGCCGUAAACGAUGAGUGCUAAGUGUUAGGG